GGAUAUAGCUUAGUGGUAGAGCACUUGCCUAGCAUAUGUAAGGCCCUGAGUUCAAUCCCAGGUACCA
RNAcentral lists this transfer RNA (67 nucleotides) under Marmota monax (woodchuck). RNAcentral describes it as "tRNA.Ala". The record is from RNAcentral. Lineage: Eukaryota; Metazoa; Chordata; Mammalia; Rodentia; Sciuridae.